UGCCAGCAGCCGCGGUAAUACGGAGGGGGUUAGCGUUGUUCGGAAUUACUGGGCGUAAAGCGUACGUAGGCGGACUGAUCAGUCAGGGGUGAAAUCCCGGGGCUCAACCCCGGAACUGCCUUUGAUACUGUCAGUCUUGAAUUCGAGAGAGGUGAGUGGAAUUCCGAGUGUAGAGGUGAAAUUCGUAGAUAUUCGGAGGAACACCAGUGGCGAAGGUGGCUCACUGGCUCGAUAUUGACGCUGAGGUACGAAAGUGUGGGGACCAAACAGGAUUAGAUA
This 279-nucleotide ribosomal RNA is filed under the name uncultured bacterium. RNAcentral's name for it is "partial 16S ribosomal RNA". It matches the Rfam family "Bacterial small subunit ribosomal RNA", at positions 506 to 784 of the family's 1533-position model. The record is from RNAcentral.